AUACCUUUCUCGGCCUUUUGGCUAAGAUCAAGUGUAGUAUCUGUUCUUAUCAGUUUAAUAUGUGAUACGUGGUUCAUCGAUCCACAUGAUAUUAAAUUAAUUUUUCUUUGGGGAAAGGCCCACUAACAGUGGCUUGCUACUGGGGUCUUUAAGCGUCGCUCAUGCGUUGCACUACUGCACGGGCCCGGCGCACCCCUA
Molecule: small nuclear RNA, 198 nt
Organism: Telopea speciosissima
Lineage: Eukaryota; Viridiplantae; Streptophyta; Magnoliopsida; Proteales; Proteaceae
Product: U2 spliceosomal RNA
Exons: 1
Source: RefSeq, a predicted model, not a curated record